Molecule: ribosomal RNA, 1491 nt
Filed under: uncultured bacterium
Lineage: Bacteria
Description: 16S ribosomal RNA
Rfam family: Bacterial small subunit ribosomal RNA
Source: RNAcentral
GGCGGUGUAUCUUAGGCAUGCAAGUCGUGCGAGAAACCAGCCUUUUGGCUGGGAGUAAGGCGGCGAACGGGUGAGUAACACGUAGAUAACCUACCUCAAAGACGGAGAUAACUCCGAGAAAUCGGAGCUAAAAUCCGAUGUGGUUAAGACCUCACAAGAGGUCUUAACUAAAGUGUGGCCUAUGCUUUUUAGCAAGCUACAGCUUUGAGAUGGGUCUGCGGCCUAUCAGCUAGUUGGUGAGGUAAUGGCUCACCAAGGCUAUGACGGGUAGCUGGCCUGAGAGGGCGGUCAGCCACAGUGGGACUGAGACACGGCCCACACUCCUACGGGAGGCAGCAGCCAAGAAUAUUGGGCAAUGGGCGAAAGCCUGACCCAGCGACACCGCGUGGGGGAUGAAGGCCUUCGGGUUGUAAACCCCUGUCAGGAGGGAUGAAGAAGCAAUAACGAAUAGUUAUUGCUUUUGACAGUACCUCCAGAGGAAGCUCCGGCUAAUUACGUGCCAGCAGCCGCGGUAAGACGUAUGGAGCAAGCGUUGCUCGGAUUCACUGGGCGUAAAGGGCAUGUAGGCGGCAUUACAAGUCAAAAGUAAAAUCCUACGGCUCAACCGUAGAACUGCUUUUGAAACUGUAAUGCUUGAGUUCAGGUGGGGAAAACGGAAUUCCCGGUGUAGGGGUGAAAUCUGUAGAUAUCGGGAAGAACACCAGUGGCGAAGGCGGUUUUCUACCCUGAAACUGACGCUGAGGCGCGAAAGCGUGGGGAGCGAACGGGAUUAGAUACCCCGGUAGUCCACGCUGUAAACGAUGAGCACUAGGUGCUGGAAGUAUUUAAACUUUCAGUGCCGUAGAUAACUUGUUAAGUGCUCCGCCUGGGGACUACGCUCGCAAGGGUGAAACUCAAAGGAAUUGACGGGGGCCCGCACAAGCGGUGGAGCAUGUGGCUUAAUUCGAUGCUGACCGAAGAACCUCACCCGGGUUUGACAUCCCGCCGUCAAGCCUAUCCGAGAGGGUAGGUGAGCCUACCGUAUAGGUAGGCAGGCGGGACAGGAGCUGCACGGCUGUCGUCAGCUCGUGUCGUGAGAUGUUGGGUUAAGUCCCGCAACGAGCGCAACCCCUGCCCUUAGUUGCCAGCGGGUCGCCCGUGGAUGCGGGCGAUGCUGGGGACUCUAAGGGGACUGCCGGCGAGGAGCCGGAGGAAGGAGGGGACGACGUCAAGUCCGUGUGGCCCUUAUGCCCGGGGCUACGCACGCGCUACAAUGGGCGGUACAGAGGGAAGCGACCCCGCGAGGGGGAGCGAAUCCCUAAAACCGCCCCCAGUUCGGAUUGCAGGCUGAAACCCGCCUGCAUGAAGGAGGAGUCGCUAGUAAUCACCUAUCAGCUAUGGGGUGGUGAAUACGUUCCCGGGCUCUGUACUCACCGCCCGUCACGCCAUGGGAGCCGGGGGCGCCUGAAGCUCCACCGAGGGUGGAGUGAAGGCGAACUCGGUGACUGGGGC